Long non-coding RNA from Girardinichthys multiradiatus, 1720 nucleotides. RefSeq lists it as uncharacterized. The transcript is spliced from 2 exons. The record is from RefSeq and is a predicted model, not a curated record. NCBI's taxonomy places the organism in Eukaryota, Metazoa, Chordata, Actinopteri, Cyprinodontiformes, Goodeidae.
ACCCAAUUUAAGUUGAAUGAUUCUGGCUGCAAUAAAACGGUUCGAUUCUGAUUUAGUUUAAACAUUCAGGGUUCUGCCAUCUUUCAGACGUUAGCAGAGCCAUCAAAGGUCUGAGAUGGUUUCCAAAACAUCUGAAGGUCUGUUUUCCACUCAGCUGCACACAAAGUCUUUCCAAGGUUGUUUUAAAUGAAGUUCAUGUUGAUUUUGCACCAACUUUCCUCCUAAACAGAUACAAUCCAUCCAAGUUGCCUUUAUAAACUUAACUUUGUGUGUUUUCUAAUCACAUCUUCUGGAUGUAGAUAAAGACCAGCAACACUUAAAGCUACAAAAGCAGCUUUCCAUUAACGCUCAGAGCAGAACCGGGUCUCACAGAGAGGCCAGGACGCUCCGAACGGACCAACAGCUCUUGCUCUGCAGACUGGGGACAGUUAAUAGACUCGUGCUCAGAAGGUUGGUGCUUUGGGCCAGAAGAAACAGACUUCUCCUCCCUCAGAGAGCUUAAUGAGAUCAAACAGUUAAGACCCAGCUGAGGAUAAUUAGUGCCGAGCUGUAAUUAGCAUGAGAAUGGUUGAACUAACAGAAGACGGGGGCAGCUGGCAGCCUGAUCUGCUUAAAUGCUCCUCAGCAAGAAGAGCAAUUAAAGAAAACGGUCAUUAAUUAGCAGAAAACAGAUUCCCUAGUUUGCAUGAAAAGAGGUGAAGAACAGAGACUUGAUGAGGCUGGAGGGACGACCUCGUUACAGCCUGCUUCAGACGAGCUGCUUUUACAAAUGAAGAAAGCUCCACUGCAGGGAUCUGAGAGCCCAGCAGGAACAGGAACCUGAAACAACUCAAACAGCUGGCUGACCAUCUUCUGACCGCCUCAUCCAGUCAUCAAUCAGAGGUUCAGAUGUGUUGCCAUGGCAAUAGGUGCUCGUUUCUUGGUUUGUUGAUGGAAAGAUAAAAACCAGUUUCUUCAGCUUUCCAUGAAUUUAGGCAGCAUGUUCAGAAUCCAAGGAACAGUUUUCCUUUGUAUACAGAGUUUCAUGUCUUUAACAACCUUCCUGGAGCCUGGACUUCUUCUCUCGUUUGUUGAAGAUGAUUCAUCCACAAGGCUUCUUCUCAUCCUCCGUUGGAUGAGAGGUCAAACACCUUCCAGAAGGAGAUAGUACUCCAGCUGCCUUCGUCCAAACAGCAAGCCUUGUCAUGUCCUGGACGUCUGAGAACCCACACCAGCCUUCUAGAACCUUCUCACAUGCUCCAACCUGGUGCUGAUCUGCAGAACUCAAGGUCCAGUUCCAGCAAAAGACUGCCACCAUUAUAAUUUAUGCUGCCAUGAUCAUAUUAGUGAUUCUUCUCUGAUAAAUUAGUUAGAUAAUGAAAACAAAUAGUUUCUCAAAUGUAAAGAAGGAAAAAACUGAAAAACAUUCCUGAGUUUCCUGGUUUAAUAAACUAUUUCAGUUCAACACGCCUCACUUCAAAGAUCCCAAAACCAGAAAUCUUUCACUGUUUUUGUGGAUUUUUAUCUCAGUCGAUUGGAUGUGUCCAAGGGAUUUAUUUACAUUUCUUUCUUCCAACUACUUCCUGGACAGAUUUUGGGCUAAUUGAAUGAAAUAAGAUCUGAUUUCAUAUGACAGAUGUCAGAAACCAAAGUCUUGGGUUUAAUCUGUGAUUCUGCUCCAAAAACACUAAAAUAUGGAAUGAAACUGGAAUAAUAAUAAAAGUUUUAAGCUGAAGUUCUA